Molecule: transfer RNA, 69 nt
Filed under: Syrista sp. 1 GYN-2021c
Lineage: Eukaryota; Metazoa; Arthropoda; Insecta; Hymenoptera; Cephidae
Description: tRNA-Leu
Source: RNAcentral
AUUACUUUGGCAGAUUAGUGCUUUAAAUUUAGAAUUUAAUUAAGAAAUUAAUAUUAUUUUCAAGUAAUA